AGUGCCCGUACCGCAAACCGACACAGGUGGGCUCCGAGCAAAUCUCGGAAGGGUAGCGGGUGAAACCCCCCUAAGGAACUCGGCAAAUUGGCCCCGUAACUUCGGGAGAAGGGGUGCCCAUCCCGUGCAAGCGGGAAUGGGUCGCAGGAAAUUGGCGGUGGGGACUGUUUACUAAAAACACAGGUCUCUGCCAACCCCAAAGGGGACGUAUAGGGACUGAGGCCUGCCCGGUGCCCGAAGGUGAAGGUAAGGGGUUAGCCGUAAGGCGAAGCUCCGAGCCUAAGCCCGGGUAAACGGAGGCCGUAACUCUGACGGUCCUAAGGUAGCGUAAUCCCUUGCCGGGUAAGUUCCGGCCUGCAUGAAUGGCUUAACCACUGCCGCUCUGUCUCAGGGGGGUGCCCGGUGAAAAUGUAGUGGGGGUGAAGAUGCCCCCGACCCGCGGCAGGACGGAAAGACCCCGUGCAGCUUUACUGCAGUCUGGCGCUGAACUCCGGGAGACCCUGCGCAGGAUAGGUGGGAGCCUGAGAAGUCCCCGCUCCGGCGGGGAUGGAGGCGCCGGUGAGAUACCACCCUGGAUCUCUUGGAGUUCUAACCCCAGGCCGUCAACCCGGAUGGGGGACACCGUCAGGCGGGCAGUUUUCCUGGGGCGGGAUCUCCCGAAAAAGUAUCGGGAGAGCGCAAAGGUGCCCUCAGCCGGUAUGGAAAUCCGGCCUUGAGUGCAAGGGCAUAAGGGCGCCUGACUGCGAGAGGGACACCUCGAGCAGACGCGAAAGCGGGCCCUAGUGACCCGGCGGUCCUAUGUGGGAGGGCCGUCGAUCAGCGGAUAAAAGCUACGCCGGGGAUAACAGACUAAUUUCUCCCGAGAGUUCACAUCGACGGGGGAGUUUGGUACCUCGAUGUCGGCUCAUCCCAUCCUGGGGCUGAAGAAGGUCCCAAGGGUCGGGCUGUUCGCCCGUUAAAGGGGUACGCGAGCUGGGUUUAAACCGUCGUGAGACAGGUUGGUCCUUAUCCGCCGUGGGCGCAGGAGGACUGAGGGGAGCUGGUCCUAGUACGAGAGGACCGGACUGGGGCAGCCUCUGGUGUACCGGUUGUCCUUCCAAGGGCAUCACGCCGGGUAGCCAUGCUGCCAUGGGAUAACCGCUGAAGGCAUCUAAGUGGGAAGCCCACCCCAAGAUAAGUCCUCCCUGAAGGGCCCUCGGAGACUACGAGGUUGAUAGGCCCGAGGUGUAAGCACCGCAAGGUGUUGAGCUGACGGGUCCUAAUCGCCCGUUCGCCAUAAA
This 1280-nucleotide ribosomal RNA is filed under the name Calescamantes bacterium JGI 0000106-I5. RNAcentral describes it as "bacterial LSU rRNA". It matches the Rfam family "Bacterial large subunit ribosomal RNA", at positions 1637 to 2925 of the family's 2925-position model. The record is from RNAcentral. Lineage: Bacteria; Candidatus Calescibacteriota.